UGUACCUUUCUUUCAUCAACCUAUCAAACCCUCAGCUCUCUCAUGAGACUCACCCACUGACCUAUCUCUUCUCCCUCUCGCUGAAAUCCGACCACUGGAACUCCGUCUCCGACGACAUAUUGGUCCGACAAACACCCACCAGCAUCACCCCCCACUCACCUGGUUACCCUCUCUAAAUGAAACGGCUGGCCACCACCACCGUCUGGUGCCGGCGCGGCGACGAGGAGAGAGAGACUCAGAGAUAGACGAAGAGAGAGAGGGAGAGAGUGGCGUAAGAGAGGAAGAGACCGAGGAGGAGAGACGGUGGAGGUUGAUGACGGCGGCAGCGCCGCCGUACACGGUGGCAGGUGACAUACGACGGUGAUGGAUGUACGAGCCUCUCCGAUUGGGCUAGGAAUCGGAAACGCCUAAGAGAAAUAUUAGAAUGGAAACUGCCUGGUUCGGUGGGAUCACUAACACAAUGUUCUAUAAAGAGGAAUCGCAACGCUCAAACGUAUAACCUCUACCUCAAUUUGACCGAAGAAUUCGUCUCACAACUCACACCCGCGGUUUUCUUCCUCUUCCGUC
RNAcentral lists this long non-coding RNA (567 nucleotides) under Helianthus annuus (common sunflower). Lineage: Eukaryota; Viridiplantae; Streptophyta; Magnoliopsida; Asterales; Asteraceae. The record is from RNAcentral.